This 550-nucleotide long non-coding RNA is filed under the name Setaria viridis. RNAcentral's name for it is "long non-coding RNA (SVIR_LNC002250)". The record is from RNAcentral. Lineage: Eukaryota; Viridiplantae; Streptophyta; Magnoliopsida; Poales; Poaceae.
GGGACCAAUCAAACCCCUGUAACCAGUCCGGCUUCGAAGCUGAGGUACUCUUCUUUAAGACGAAAUCGAAGGUAUGUCUAUCCCUCCGGUCAAGUUUUUACUGGCAAUUCCUUUCAUGAUUAAGUCUGUUUCCUUACUGUCCUUUCAAGAAAAGCUGUUCUAUUGGAACAACUAAACAAAAUAUAUUUUAAAUGUUUGAUAAUUUUGCUUCCUUUCAGACAGCAUCUUCAUGUUUAUGUAUCAAAUUUCUAUUGGAAGUUAAAUCAAGGACACAAGUUCACAUAUUUAUUUGUUUCUAAUUCAAUAUAAUUAAGUUCAAUAGGCAUCUGAAUGAAUUGAUUUUAUUACUUGGUUUGUGAUUGAAUCAAAGCAAUAUUUUCUCUUUUUUUUCCUUUUGAUGAAAAUACAGCUUCUGAAAUACUACCAAAGAAGCACUGAAGCGAGCAAGUUUACAGCAGCUGCAACCCCACUCACCACAUCAUUUUCGGUGGAAAGCUUCAUUUGUUUGGAAGAAACCAAUCGUAAGGCUUCUUAUUCCUUGAUAGUUUUG